This 465-nucleotide ribosomal RNA is filed under the name uncultured bacterium. RNAcentral describes it as "partial 16S ribosomal RNA". It matches the Rfam family "Bacterial small subunit ribosomal RNA", at positions 28 to 507 of the family's 1533-position model. The record is from RNAcentral.
GACGAACGCUGGCGGCGUGCUUAACACAUGCAAGUCGAACGGAAAGGCCCCCUUGUGGGGUACUCGAGUGGCGAACGGGUGAGUAACACGUGAGUAACCUACCCUUGACUUUGGGAUAACUUCAGGAAACUGGGGCUAAUACCGGAUAGGAGCUCCUGCUGCAUGGGGGGGGUUGGAAAGUUUCGGCGGUUGGGGAUGGACUCGCGGCUUAUCAGCUUGUUGGUGGGGUAGUGGCUCACCAAGGCUUUGACGGGUAGCCGGCCUGAGAGGGUGACCGGCCACAUUGGGACUGAGAUACGGCCCAGACUCCUACGGGAGGCAGCAGUGGGGAAUAUUGCACAAUGGGCGGAAGCCUGAUGCAGCAACGCCGCGUGCGGGAUGACGGCCUUCGGGUUGUAAACCGCUUUCGCCUGUGACGAAGCGUGAGUGACGGUAAUGGGUAAAGAAGCACCGGCUAACUACGUG